Solanum dulcamara is the source of this 345-nucleotide long non-coding RNA. RefSeq lists it as uncharacterized. The transcript has 4 exons. Lineage: Eukaryota; Viridiplantae; Streptophyta; Magnoliopsida; Solanales; Solanaceae. The record is from RefSeq and is a predicted model, not a curated record.
GGUGUAGAUUGUAGUACGAAAAAUUCAAUGAGAAUACAGAAAGGCCAUGUGACCAAACUUCUCAAAAGGGAAUUUUUGGAGGAGGAAUAUUCAUGUGAGGCUCAGAGGAGAAGUCAUUUACUCAGGUUACAAUUACUAUUUGAGUAGGUUGAUGGUCCUUGACUCUGCUCCAGAAAAUAUUUUGCAAGUCUAUUAUAAGAAAGGAGGACUUCCUUCCACCUUGAAUGGAAAAAGAGAAGGGAGGCGGACAACACUCACGACCAUCCUAUUCGUGGAUAGAGUUGCUCUAUAUUCUCAAGGAGUUGGUUUAAAGGAUGACGAUACAAAUGGGAUAAGAAGUAACCC